This 481-nucleotide ribosomal RNA is filed under the name uncultured bacterium. RNAcentral's name for it is "partial 16S ribosomal RNA". It matches the Rfam family "Bacterial small subunit ribosomal RNA", at positions 28 to 507 of the family's 1533-position model. The record is from RNAcentral.
GACGAACGUUGGCGGCGUGCUUAAUACAUGCAAGUCAACUGAAGCAGUGGUAGCAAUAUCGCUUUGGAGGUGGCGCACGGGUGAGUAACACGUAGGUAAUCUGCCUUCAGGUCUGGCAUAACUCCGGGAAACCGGGGCUAAUAGCAGAUGAUGCAGCGGCUCGACAUCGAGACAGUUGUUAAAGCUAUGGCGCCUGAAGAUGAGCCUGCGUCUGAUUAGCUAGUUGGCGGGGUAACGGCCCACCAAGGCAACGAUCAGUAGCUGGUCUGAGAGGAUGAUCAGCAACACGGGAAAGGAGACACGGGCCAGACUCCGACGGGAGGCAGCAGUAAGGAAUAUUGCGCAAUGGGAGAAAUCCUGAAGCAGCAACGCCGCGUGAGGGACGAAGGGCGUUUGCUUGUAAACCUCUGUAGUGAGAGAAAAAAAUCCCAAUCUUUGGGACAUGAUGGUAUCUCAAAAGUAAGCCCCGGCUAACUACGUG